AAUCCGUCGAUUUCAAAAAUCGUGA
This 25-nucleotide transfer RNA is filed under the name Dittrichia viscosa. Its description in RNAcentral is "partial tRNA-Leu". The record is from RNAcentral. Lineage: Eukaryota; Viridiplantae; Streptophyta; Magnoliopsida; Asterales; Asteraceae.